This is a small nuclear RNA of Oryctolagus cuniculus (rabbit), 160 nucleotides long. Its record names the gene U2. It matches the Rfam family "U2 spliceosomal RNA". Rfam says of the family: U2 is a small nuclear RNA (snRNA) component of the spliceosome (involved in pre-mRNA splicing). Complementary binding between U2 snRNA (in an area lying towards the 5' end but 3' to hairpin I) and the branchpoint sequence (BPS) of the intron results the bulging out of an unpaired adenosine, on the BPS, which initiates a nucleophilic attack at the intronic 5' splice site, thus starting the first of two transesterification reactions that mediate splicing. NCBI's taxonomy places the organism in Eukaryota, Metazoa, Chordata, Mammalia, Lagomorpha, Leporidae. The record is from Ensembl.
AGCGGUUCUCGGCCUUUUGGCUAAGAUCAAGUGUAGUAUCUGUUCUUAUCAGUUUUUUUUUUUUUUGCAUUUUCAAUAAACUUUUUGAAGGAGAGAUAUGAAUUUAAGUCCAUUGUAUUUCCCUGCUGACAUGCCUUCCCUUCUUUAUUAGAAAACCACC